RNAcentral lists this ribosomal RNA (541 nucleotides) under uncultured bacterium. RNAcentral describes it as "bacterial SSU rRNA". It matches the Rfam family "Bacterial small subunit ribosomal RNA", at positions 8 to 526 of the family's 1533-position model. The record is from RNAcentral.
AGAGUUUGAUCAUGGCUCAGAAUCAACGCUGGCGGCGUGCCUAACACAUGCAAGUCGAACGCGAAAGCCCCGCAAGGGGCAAGUAGAGUGGCAAACGGGUGAGUAACGCGUGGGUGACCUGCCUUCGAGCGGGGGAUAACGUUCCGAAAGGGACGCUAAUACCGCAUAACAUCCCGCCCUUGAACGGGUGGAGAUCAAAGCUGGGGAUUCGCAAGAACCCGGCACUUGAAGAGGGGCUCGCGUCUGAUUAGCUAGUUGGUGAGGUAACGGCUCACCAAGGCAACGAUCAGUAUCCGGCCUGAGAGGGCGGACGGACACACUGGGACUGAGACACGGCCCAGACUCCUACGGGAGGCAGCAGUGGGGAAUUGUUCGCAAUGGGCGCAAGCCUGACGACGCAACGCCGCGUGGAGGAUGAAGAUCUUCGGGUCGUAAACUCCUGUCGAAUGGGACGAAAAGAUUGCGGGUUAACAGCCCGUAGUCCUGACGGUACCGUUAAAGGAAACCCCGGCUAACUCCGUGCCAGCAGCGGCGGUAAUAC